Small nuclear RNA from Molossus molossus (Pallas's mastiff bat), 103 nucleotides. The record is from RefSeq and is a predicted model, not a curated record. Lineage: Eukaryota; Metazoa; Chordata; Mammalia; Chiroptera; Molossidae.
GUAGUUGAGCAGCACGUAUACUAAAAUUGGAACAUUACAGAGAAGAUUAGCAUGGCCACUGUGAAAGGAUGACACACAAAUUUAUGAAGCAUUCCAUAAUUUU